UCAAAGGAAGUUGACGGGGCCCGGCACAAGCGGUGGAGUAUGUGGUUUAAUUCGAUGCAACGCGAAGAACCUUACCUGGUCUUGACAUCCCGGAGACCCUUAGGAAACUAGGGGGUGCUUCCAUCUGGAAGAAUCUGGAGACAGGUGCUGCAUGGCUGUCGUCAGCUCGUGUCGUGAGAUGUUGGGUUAAGUCCCGCAACGAGCGCAACCCUUGCCUUUAGUUGCCAGCAGUUCGGCUGGGCACUCUAAAGGGACUGCCGGUGUUAAACCGGAGGAAGGUGGGGAUGACGUCAAGUCCUCAUGGCCUUUAUGACCAGGGCUACACACGUACUACAAUGGCCGAUACAAAGGGCAGCGACACUGCGAGGUGAAGCCAAUCCCGUAAAAUCGGUCUCAGUCCGGAUUGGAGUCUGCAACUCGACUCCAUGAAGUUGGAAUCGCUAGUAAUCGUGGAUCAGCAUGCCACGGUGAAUACGUUCCCGGGCCUU
RNAcentral lists this ribosomal RNA (488 nucleotides) under uncultured Desulfobulbus sp. RNAcentral's name for it is "bacterial SSU rRNA". It matches the Rfam family "Bacterial small subunit ribosomal RNA", at positions 901 to 1382 of the family's 1533-position model. The record is from RNAcentral. Lineage: Bacteria; Pseudomonadati; Thermodesulfobacteriota; Desulfobulbia; Desulfobulbales; Desulfobulbaceae.